UCAACACACAUCGAUCUAAAGGACAAAAAGACCCUCUGAAGCUUUAUAGGGAUAAAACUUGGGUAACAUCUUGAUCUACAAUGUCUCUUAUUGAUCUAAAGCCAGCUAAAGUGAUGGAGAUCACGUAUUUUAGUAAAAAUAAACUAAUUUGCUCUAAGACC
Molecule: ribosomal RNA, 161 nt
Filed under: Symbiodinium sp. clade F
Lineage: Eukaryota; Dinophyceae; Suessiales; Symbiodiniaceae
Description: partial 23S ribosomal RNA
Source: RNAcentral